This 92-nucleotide small RNA is filed under the name Klebsiella pneumoniae UHKPC04. RNAcentral describes it as "RtT RNA". It matches the Rfam family "RtT RNA", at positions 37 to 130 of the family's 130-position model. Rfam says of the family: This family represents a bacterial cis-regulatory element known as RtT RNA. The exact function of RtT is unknown although it is thought that it may be involved in changing the cellular response in relation to amino acid starvation. Lineage: Bacteria; Pseudomonadati; Pseudomonadota; Gammaproteobacteria; Enterobacterales; Enterobacteriaceae. The record is from RNAcentral.
CAAGGUUCGACUCGAGCGAAGCGAGAGAACGUUGCCGCAGGCAAUGGCCCGAAGGCGAGGCGCUUUAGCGCCGAGUAAUCCUUACCCCACCA